GCAAAGCAGGGAAUUCCAACUUCUCAGCCUCCCGAACCUCCAAAAAGUAAAUUAUAAAAUUUCCUCAGAUAGAGCCUUCCUCGUAUAGACACGAAGAAACCAAUACAAAAUCCAAGCCCAUCACCUCUCCAUCCCCCCAAUCAUCGCCCAAAAUAUUCGAUACAUUCAAUUUGAAGCCUGCCAUUGUUCCCCAUUUCUUACCAAAAACAACAAACGCAAAGAUCAGAGAUCAGAUCGACGGCCCUGAUUCAAUCUCUCCAUCGGGUCGCUGCCCAAUCAACCCAUUUCUGAUUUUCGCUCCAAAACCAAGUUUUCAGUUUUGUGCAUGCAUCACCGCCAUCAUCAUCAGCAUCCGUUUGAUUCAUAAUUAGGGAUCCGAAUUGAUGGGGUUCUUGUCGGAUCGAACGGUCAACGAUUCUUCAACCUCGUGCUUCGGUGUUGGCUUAAAGGCUUCUUCUUUCCCAGUUUGAACCUCGAUUUGGGGAUUGAUUGGCUCAGAGAAUUAGGGCUUUGUGUUUGUUUUUUUUGGAUCAAAACAUAAAAAGGAAGAAUGAGAGUGACGAAGUGUCAGGUUUGGCAGCCUUGCAAGAAGAAGAGGUAGAGGGAACGCUGUAUUAAAAUUUGGAAAGGAAAGUUUGAGAGGAACGAUUUGGAAGAUUCUAGAGAUAGAGGGGGGAGAAAGAGUGAAAGAGAUUGGAGAUGGCGUCGAGGUCGGCGACCGGCAGCAGGACCCGGGUCGGGAGGUACGAGUUGGGUCGGACCCUUGGGGAGGGCAAUUUCGCCAAGGUCAAGUUCGCUCGCAACGUCGAGACUAGUGAGAACUUCGCCAUUAAAAUACUCGACAAGGAAAAGGUCCUCAAGCACAAGAUGAUCGGCCAGAUCAAACGAGAAAUAUCAACGAUGAAAUUAAUAAGACAUCCGAAUGUCAUCCGUAUGUAUGAGGUGAUGGCUAGCAAGACAAAAAUAUACAUCGUUUUGGAAUUUGUGACUGGUGGAGAACUGUUUGACAAAAUUGCAAGUAAAGGAAGAUUGAAAGAAGAUGAAGCAAGAAAUUAUUUUCAGCAGCUUAUAAAUGCUGUGGAUUACUGUCAUAGCAGAGGUGUUUUUCAUAGAGACCUAAAGCCUGAGAAUUUGCUGCUGGAUGUUAAUGGGAUUCUGAAAGUUUCAGAUUUUGGACUGAGUGCACUACCUCAGCAAGUUCGAGAAGAUGGAUUGCUUCACACAACAUGUGGGACACCAAAUUACGUUGCCCCUGAGGUGAUAAACAACAAAGGGUAUGAUGGAGCAAAAGCCGAUUUAUGGUCUUGUGGUGUGAUUCUUUUUGUCUUAAUGGCUGGCUAUUUGCCUUUUGAAGAUUCCAACCUCAUGGCAUUAUACAAAAAGAUAUUCAAGGCCGACUUCACAUGUCCUCCAUGGUUCUCCUCAAGUGCAAAGAAGCUAAUUAAGAGAAUAUUGGAUCCUAACCCCUUGGCAAGAAUUACAAUUGCUGAGGUCAUUGAGAAUGAGUGGUUUAAGAAAGGAUAUAAGCCACCUAGUUUUGAACAAGUUGAUGUCAGUCUUGAUGAUGUGGAUUCUAUAUUCAAUGAAUCAGGGGAAUCUCAAAACCUUGUAGUGGAGAGGCGAGAAGAACGAAAUGUGGCGCCUGUCACGAUGAAUGCCUUUGAGCUUAUCUCUACAUCCCAGGGCCUGAAUCUCAAUAGUCUUUUUGAGAAAAAAAUGGAACUUGUUAAAAGAGAAACAAGAUUCACAUCCAAACGUCCUGCUAAUGAGAUAAUUUCGAAAAUUGAGGAAGCUGCAGGGCCUUUGGGUUUUGGUGUAAAGAAAAAUAACUUCAAGUUGAAGCUUCAAGGUGAAAAAACUGGACGUAAGGGUCAUUUAUCUGUUGCAACAGAGAUUUUUGAGGUGGCCCCGUCACUCUACAUGGUUGAGCUCCGCAAGUCUGGGGGAGACACUCUGGAAUUUCACAAUGUAUGUUAUUGCAAUGUUGAUGCAAUCAUGGCAUCUAAUAAGUAUUGUAUAUUCAUCUAAUUAGGAGCGAUUAUGGGCUCUUCACAAAUAAUAGCCUCUGGGCUACACCUGUUGCUUGCAAAAUUUAAUUGCUAGCAGUUGGUGGGCUAAAGCUGGGUCGGCACCCUGCUUGCUUUAUUACAUAGCAAGCAGCAAAUGGCAAGGGAAUCUUAUGCUGAUUUAAAUAAGAGGAUUAAUCCUCAUAUGGCCACAUGAUGUGGGCUGGAUAUAGAGUUCUACAAGAACCUGUCGACGGGGCUGAAAGAUAUUGUUUGGAAAUCAGGAGAUGAUUCAAGGAAGGAAGCAGAAGAUGGUGCCAGUGCCCGUGCUCUGCCAUCUUGAUGAUUGGCUUCCUUGACAGAACAUACUGAUGGGUUUCGUCGCAAUGUUCUGUUUUUUCAUUCAAAAUUUUUGAGUGAACCUCAUCAGAUGUCAGUUGUUAAAUGAAUACAGAUAGUAUGGCUUGCAGAAUUAUCUAUAAAAAGUACUUGGGGUAUUUGCUUUGAGUGAACCUGUCAUUCAGAAGUCAUUUGUUAGAUACUUGGUGCAGUUUGGGUUGGGAAUUGAAUGUAUACUUGUUAGUUGUUGUUGUAUCCUUUGAGAGAGAACAAAAUAAAACGUGAAAUCUAA
Molecule: non-coding RNA, 2637 nt
Organism: Prunus avium (sweet cherry)
Lineage: Eukaryota; Viridiplantae; Streptophyta; Magnoliopsida; Rosales; Rosaceae
Source: RefSeq, a predicted model, not a curated record